AUAUCUCUCUGUACGGGAAGGAUGAGAAGCUUCGACUAAGGUUCGAUUCGAGCGCAGCGAGAAAGCGUUGCCAACGGCAACGACCCGAAGGGCGAAGCGCGCAGCGCUGAGUAAUCCUUCCCCCACCACCA
RNAcentral lists this small RNA (131 nucleotides) under Salmonella enterica subsp. enterica serovar Thompson. Its description in RNAcentral is "RtT sRNA". It matches the Rfam family "RtT RNA". Rfam says of the family: This family represents a bacterial cis-regulatory element known as RtT RNA. The exact function of RtT is unknown although it is thought that it may be involved in changing the cellular response in relation to amino acid starvation. The record is from RNAcentral. RNAcentral also lists the same sequence under 11 other names. Lineage: Bacteria; Pseudomonadati; Pseudomonadota; Gammaproteobacteria; Enterobacterales; Enterobacteriaceae.